This 76-nucleotide transfer RNA is filed under the name Thermovibrio ruber. Its description in RNAcentral is "tRNA-Phe". It matches the Rfam family "tRNA". Rfam says of the family: Transfer RNA (tRNA) molecules are approximately 80 nucleotides in length. Their secondary structure includes four short double-helical elements and three loops (D, anti-codon, and T loops). Further hydrogen bonds mediate the characteristic L-shaped molecular structure. tRNAs have two regions of fundamental functional importance: the anti-codon, which is responsible for specific mRNA codon recognition, and the 3' end, to which the tRNAs corresponding amino acid is attached (by aminoacyl-tRNA synthetases). tRNAs cope with the degeneracy of the genetic code in two manners: having more than one tRNA (with a specific anti-codon) for a particular amino acid; and 'wobble' base-pairing, i.e. permitting non-standard base-pairing at the 3rd anti-codon position. RNAcentral also lists the same sequence under 6 other names. Lineage: Bacteria; Pseudomonadati; Aquificota; Aquificia; Desulfurobacteriales; Desulfurobacteriaceae. The record is from RNAcentral.
GCCGAGGUAGCUCAGUUGGUAGAGCAGAGGACUGAAAAUCCUCGUGUCGGCGGUUCGAUUCCGCCCCUCGGCACCA